GGUAAGAUGGCCGAAGUAGGCGGUGGAUUGUAGCCCCAUGUAUAGAGGUUUGAGUCCUCUUUUUACCA
RNAcentral lists this transfer RNA (68 nucleotides) under Neosalanx taihuensis. Its description in RNAcentral is "tRNA-Tyr". It matches the Rfam family "tRNA". From Rfam's summary of the family: Transfer RNA (tRNA) molecules are approximately 80 nucleotides in length. Their secondary structure includes four short double-helical elements and three loops (D, anti-codon, and T loops). RNAcentral also lists the same sequence under 1 other name. The record is from RNAcentral. Lineage: Eukaryota; Metazoa; Chordata; Actinopteri; Osmeriformes; Salangidae.